CACGUAGGGCGCGAGCGUUGUCCGGAAUUAUUGGGCGUAAAGAGCUCGUAGGCGGCCUGUUGCGUCCGCUGUGAAAGCCCGGGGCUUAACCCCGGGUCUGCAGUGGAUACGGGCAGGCUAGAGGUAGGUAGGGGAGAAUGGAAUUCCCGGUGUAGCGGUGAAAUGCGUAGAGAUCGGGAGGAACACCAGUGGCGAAGGCGGCCUUCUGGACCAAUACUGACGCUCAUGCACGAAAGCGUGGGGAGCAAACAGG
RNAcentral lists this ribosomal RNA (253 nucleotides) under uncultured bacterium. Its description in RNAcentral is "partial 16S ribosomal RNA". It matches the Rfam family "Bacterial small subunit ribosomal RNA", at positions 524 to 776 of the family's 1533-position model. The record is from RNAcentral.